Molecule: ribosomal RNA, 468 nt
Filed under: uncultured bacterium
Lineage: Bacteria
Description: partial 16S ribosomal RNA
Rfam family: Bacterial small subunit ribosomal RNA
Source: RNAcentral
GACGAACGCUGGCGGCGUGCUUAACACAUGCAAGUCGAACGGAAAGGCCCUGCUUUUGUGGGGUGCUCGAGUGGCGAACGGGUGAGUAACACGUGAGUAACCUGCCCUUGACUUUGGGAUAACUUCAGGAAACUGGGGGUAAUACCGGAUAGGAGCUCCUGCUGCAUGGUGGGGGUUGGAAAGUUUCGGCGGUUGGGGAUGGACUCGCGGCUUAUCGGCUUGUUGGUGGGGUAGUGGCUUACCAAGGCUUUGACGGGUAGCCGGCCUGAGAGGGUGACCGGCCACAUUGGGACUGAGAUACGGCCCAGACUCCUACGGGAGGCAGCAGUGGGGAAUAUUGCACAAUGGGCGGAAGCCUGAUGCAGCAACGCCGCGUGCGGGAUGACGGCCUUCGGGUUGUAAACCGCUUUCGCCUGUGACGAAGCGUGAGUGACGGUAAUGGGUAAAGAAGCACCGGCUAACUACGUG